RNAcentral lists this ribosomal RNA (489 nucleotides) under uncultured bacterium. Its description in RNAcentral is "bacterial SSU rRNA". It matches the Rfam family "Bacterial small subunit ribosomal RNA", at positions 28 to 502 of the family's 1533-position model. The record is from RNAcentral.
GAUGAACGCUAGCGGCAGGCUUAAUACAUGCAAGUUGAGGGGCAGCAUGAUAUACGCGAGUAUAUUGAUGGCGACCGGCGGACGGGUGAGUAAUAGGUAGGAGACCUACCUCAUACAGGGGGAUAGCAUAGAGAAAUCUGUGGUAAUACCCCAUGAGGUUAUAUGAAUAGAGGCAUAUAAUCAAAGCAUAAGCGAUUAUGCGGUAUGAGAGGGGCCUACUGACCAUUAGCUAGUUGGUGAGGUAAGGGCUCACCAAGGCGAAGAUGGUUAGGGGUUUUGAGAGAGAGACCCCCCACAUUGGAACUGAGAGACGGUCCAGACUCCUACGGGAGGCAGCAGUAGGGAAUAUUGGGCAAUGGGCGAAAGCCUGACCCAGCCAUGCCGCGUGAAGGAAGACGGCCUUAUGGGUUGUAAACUUCUUUACUACGCGAAUAGAGGUUAGUACGAGAUACUAAUAGGAAGGUAGUGUAGUAAAAGCACCGGCUAACU